This 187-nucleotide unclassified non-coding RNA is filed under the name uncultured Ascomycota. RNAcentral's name for it is "sequence contains ITS1". The record is from RNAcentral. Lineage: Eukaryota; Fungi; Ascomycota.
GUGAUAUAGAAAAUCUAUUUUUCUAGUCAACUAUUACACCCUUUUGUCAACUAUACCAUUGUUGCUUCCACUGGACAGACUUCGGUCCUCUGGCUCACUGCAAGGUGAAGCUGGGGAGUGCUGGUGGAAAGAAUUUAAACUCGUCUUUAGAAAAACUUGUCUGACAAACUUAUUUUUUAAUAAAAUA